GAUGAACGCUGGCGGCGUGCCUAAUACAUGCAAGUCGAGCGAACGGACGAGAAGCUUGCUUCUCUGAUGUUAGCGGCGGACGGGCGAGUAACACGUGGAUAACCUACCUAUAAGACUGGGAUAACUUCGGGAAGCCGGAUCUAAUACCGGAGAAUAUUUUGAACCGCAUGGUUCAAAAGUGCAACACGGUCUUGCUGUCACUUAUAGAUGGUUCCGCGCUGCAUUAGCUAGUUGGUAAGGUAACGGCCUACCAAGGCAACGAUGCAUAGCCGACCUGAGAGGAUGAUCAGCCACACUGGAACUGAGACACGGUCCAGACUCCUACGGGAGGCAGCAGUAGGGAAUAUUCCGCAAUGGGCGAAAGCCUGACGGAGCAACGCCGCGUGAGUGAUGAAGGUCUUCGGAUCGUAAAACUCUGUUAUUAGGGAAGAACAUAUGUGUAAGUAACUGUGCACAUCUUGACGGUACCUAAUCAGAAAGCAACGGCUAACUACGUG
Molecule: ribosomal RNA, 497 nt
Filed under: uncultured bacterium
Lineage: Bacteria
Description: partial 16S ribosomal RNA
Rfam family: Bacterial small subunit ribosomal RNA
Source: RNAcentral